RNAcentral lists this ribosomal RNA (159 nucleotides) under Bacteroides fragilis. RNAcentral's name for it is "partial 23S ribosomal RNA". It matches the Rfam family "Bacterial large subunit ribosomal RNA", at positions 1 to 156 of the family's 2925-position model. Lineage: Bacteria; Pseudomonadati; Bacteroidota; Bacteroidia; Bacteroidales; Bacteroidaceae. The record is from RNAcentral.
AUAAAAGAAAGUAAAUAAGGGCGCAUGGCGGAUGCCUUGGCUCUCGGAGGCGAUGAAGGACGUGAUAAGCUGCGAUAAGCUUCGGGUAGGUGCAAAUGACCUUUGAUCCGAAGAUUUCCGAAUGGGACAACCCGGCAUUCUGAAGGAAUGUCAUCCAAC